Molecule: ribosomal RNA, 68 nt
Filed under: Tannerella sp.
Lineage: Bacteria; Pseudomonadati; Bacteroidota; Bacteroidia; Bacteroidales; Tannerellaceae
Also listed under: 1 other name
Description: partial 16S ribosomal RNA
Rfam family: Bacterial small subunit ribosomal RNA
Source: RNAcentral
ACAACGGAGAGUUUGAUCCUGGCUCAGGAUGAACGCUAGCGACAGGCUUAACACAUGCAAGUCGAGGG